UCCUGGCUGGCUCAGUGAGUAGAGCAUGUGACUCUUGAUCUUGGGGUCAUGGGUUCGAGCCCCAUGUUGAGCA
Molecule: transfer RNA, 73 nt
Filed under: Ursus americanus (American black bear)
Lineage: Eukaryota; Metazoa; Chordata; Mammalia; Carnivora; Ursidae
Also listed under: 2 other names
Rfam family: tRNA
About the family: Transfer RNA (tRNA) molecules are approximately 80 nucleotides in length.
Source: Rfam by way of RNAcentral